RNAcentral lists this long non-coding RNA (3864 nucleotides) under Sarcophilus harrisii (Tasmanian devil). RNAcentral describes it as "lncRNA (ENSSHAG00000026409.1)". Lineage: Eukaryota; Metazoa; Chordata; Mammalia; Dasyuromorphia; Dasyuridae. The record is from RNAcentral.
GGGAUGUCGUGGGCAGAGACGGGGGGGGUUCAGCUUGAUAUUCCGUUGCAGAAGUGGGCGGGGAGGGGGAACAACAGUACUGGGGGUGUGGAGAGAGGCAACCAAAUUUUUGAUGUUUAGAACAGAACCAGUUGGUUCCGGGGCUGAUCAGCCCAAUCCCAUGGAGAGACCCGUAAUUGCUCUGGUUCCGGCAGAAGGGGCAAAGGGGCUGAGGGACAGGAUGGAGGCGCGUGAAUGGGGCAUCUCUUCCCCCGGUCAGCAACAGGGAACAGACCAUCCUCUCCCCUCUCCGACACCUACUGGGCGAGCCUUCAGAACCCAGAGCUGCCUGGGGAAGACGCAGGCAAUUUUGGAACAACCAGUAGGGUCUGGCACUAGGUGGCAACCGUUCCGAUCUCUUGCCUUGGUCACUGCCCUGUCUCUAUCCUGCCUUUCCAUAGUUUAUAUGUCCUCCCCACCAGACUGGGACCCCUCAAGGGCCAUUCUCUGUAUCUCCUGCACCCGGAUGCUUGCUCACUAUGCUGCAGGCAAGCAGAAGGUGCAGAAGCUCUCACAAGCACCCAAAAGAUCCACCCUGACAUCUUCUCUACCUGGGACUGGUGUGGGAUCCCAGUAGGCGCGUCCCCAAAUUCAGUGACCACGUACUCCGAUGGUUGGUGUAUGGGCACACCCCUACACAACCCAAACCCCAGCCCCUGAAAUCGAGUGUCAUCGGUAAGAAUUCACCCCAACAGAAAGGUCCUUCGGCCACUGGGCUGGGGGAGAGGGGAGGGGAGGAGAGAAGAGAUGGGCGAGACCCCCCAGGCAGCUUGCAACUUUCUUUUUUUCUGGUUUAAUUUUUUACAAGAUUCAUUUAUUAACUAUGAUACAUGUCACAUAAGGCCUGUUCAGUUUUUACACCAUUCCCAUUGAGACAAGUACAAUACUUUGUAGCAAAUACAUGAUUUCAAAACAAAACAAAAAACCAGAACUGGAAAAAAAAAAAAUGACCUCAGCUGGAGAUGUCUGUCGCGGAGCAUUUAUAGCUGACCAUGCACAAAUUGCUUUUUUAGGUCUGAAAAAAACAUGGUGUAAAAAAUUUCUUUGGGGGCAGGGAGCAGCAAACAUUCCUAACACCACUAACUAAGGGUUGUACUGGGUUACGUCCCUAACAAUACAAAGAAAUAACCGGGAUACGUUUCUUUACAUACAGUUCUCCAUGUUUGCUGAGACAUUGAAUCUGGGCACACGGCUGGACUAACACAUUUUAAUACCAUUUAGUAUGCUUGUUUUCUUGUGAAAACUCAAAAUGUGUUAAUUCGACACAUAGAAAGAUCAUUUAACAUGUGAAAAAUACUAGUACCAGAAAAAUAAGUCGGCGGCAGCACUAUCCCAAAGGUUCAAACGAGUUUUAUUCCCAUACAAUCUUGACAGGUUGUUUUUUUUUUUUUUUUUGUUUUUUUUUAAAUGUACACAGGGAAGUUUGAAGAUCUUUUCUUUAUGGAAAACAAUAACUUAGGCCGUCUUGACUACAUUGAAUGGGAAACAUCUCUGCUCAAUAUGAGGAGGGGGGGGGGGGCAGGUGGCGAGAGGGCAUGGACCCGGGGAGGCAGUGACCACACCUGGGACCUUUGGGCUACAGGGAGCACGGAUGUGACUAAGAGGGGAUGAGGAGGAAAAGGAUGGUAAGAAGCACCAGAAGGGAAGGCCCUCAAUCGGCAGGAUGUGCCAGCCACUUCCUCCCACCUGCAUCCUUCUCACAUGAUUCAAACAAAAGGCAAUCUUUUCGGACAUGAUUUUAAAGAGUAUUCUGGAAUUACAUUGGAGGAGGGCCCAUCUCUACGCUUUCUCCUGUUUAAAGAAUGUAAGAGCAAGAAAAGCUGGCAGAUGCUGAGAGCAAUCUCCUCCCCCGGCCCUAGAACCCUCCCAGACCUGGUCAGGAACUUGGGCUCAGUGCCUCCAAGGCCCCUCUCAGCUCUCGAUGCUGCGGUCCCCCAGACUGAAAUCGUCUCCAUCUUGGCCUCCGGAAAUUCUGGAGACAGGCAGCAGUGGACAGACCAGUCUAGUUCAGAACCACCAUGCCAACAUGGGAUAAAAGCAAAGGGGCCAUUAAGUCACCCAAGCCCAGCUUCCUCAGGGAGGGGUGUAUGUGUAUGUGUGUGUGUGUGUUGGGUGGGGGUGGGGGUGUCACUGAAUCCACUGCUGGACAUCAGGUGCCACACAUGCAGGAGUUGGGCAAGCCCUGCAACCUCAGGGGCCUCAGUUUCCCUAUUUGUAAAGGAGAGACAGUCUCUAAGGUACCCUCCAGUUCUAAUCAUCUAUAAAUCUAGGGAAUGAAAACAAAGUACUGAGUCAGACCGGCGUUCCAGGCCUGGAUCUAUCAGCAGGAAGUUGGUGGAUCAUGGGAAAGUCCCUUAACUCCUCCAAGGCUUUUUAUUUCCUUAUUUCUAAAAUGGGGACAAGGAUGCUCGGCGUGGUCUGCCUGGCCAUGGGAAGGGUUAAAGAUUGGGAUCAUAAAGCACUAAAGAUGGGCCUGGCAGGGAGAGUGGGGGCCCCAGGAAGCUCGCCUUGAACCCCAACCCCACGGCUUCCCCGGUGCUAGGGAAACCCCAAACUCUGGCUUGUCUUUGCACAGUUGUUCAAAGUUACCCCCCACAUGCUGGAGCGAAUGGAUCUUAGUUCUGAGAAGGUUCGGCCCCCGUGCACUCGGAUCGGUUCUGUUUGGGUUAUUUGCUGGGGGCCGACAUGACAGAGGGGGCCCGGGGAGCUUUUGGACUUCCCUUCUGCCCCGCUUUCCCCUAGAGAGUUGGGGAACUGGUCCCCUUCAACGAGCGGGCACGAACGAAAAAGGGGGGGGGACGGGAUGACACAAGGACCCCACCCGGGUCCCCAAACGGGAAGGGGCCCCGGGGGGGGGGAGGCCCCGGGAUUACAGCACCUCUUCCUGAGGGUGCCCCCCACCCUGCUACGCUUGUCUGAAAGCUCAGGGAGCUCCCCGAGGAGACCAGGGCCGUGGAGCAGGGAUGAAGGCACAGAGAGAACACAGACCAGAGACAGCAGGCCCCUCCUCCCACCCACCCCAGAAGAGUGAAGGGGCAGGGGAGGAGCCAAAGCAACGACCCCCCGCAGCACCCCCAAGACAAAGCCCACCAUGCUAACAAUGCCCUGCCCAUCUGCCGCGUCCAUUUUCUUGAGGAAUAAGGCUACAGGACUCGAGGAAAUGCUUCUUCCGAGCACCAUGUGCCACGGGUGGGCAGUUACUGCAGCAGCCGACUCCCCCAGCCCACCCUGCCCGCCCUGCGCCACAGAUCCUGGCUUCCUAAAGUGCAAAGACAACACGUGGCCCUGACGGCCGCCCCACCCCUGCCUGCGCAUAGAUGGUGCUGGGGAAGGGAGUGCGGGAGGCCGCUGGGGGGCCCAGGGACUUCUUACACAGGGCCGGCGUGCUCAGGGCACCCCGAGAGGAGGCUGGGGUGCUUCGCGACAUCCUGAGCCCCGGGCUUCCAUCAUGGACUGGCACCAGGCCAUUAGUGUUAAAGGUGGUGCAAGGAGCCACGGCCAGAGGGGCUGGUACCUGGGUGCUACCUCCCAGGGAAAGGGGCGGGGGUCCCCCGCCAUGUCAGGCCAGAGCAGCCCAUCUUCACUGUAGUGUUUGGGGGUUCCCUCCCCUGCCUCCCACGUACAUAUGGCAUCGGAGGAGCCACGUCCCACGUUUCCGAGGGAGGUGUGAGUCCGGCCCAGGCCCGAUGGGGCGCUUUGGCCAGGUCCCAGCUAGGGCACCGGGCCCGGGCCCUGAGGAGGAGCACCGUGGCCCGGGCCCGGGAGCUGAGGAACCCAAAGUCGAGGUCUCUCUUGUGUUUUUUUCCCUAGUGUUUUAAAAUCUUU